UCUUGUUUCAAGCCCGUACAGGCUCCCUCCCAACACAAAAGCGACUCUGCGAACUCUUUGGAAACGCAAACCCAGCAUGUACCCUAUGUAACACCGGAGAAGAAGAGGACAUACAGCACAUCCUGCAAACUUGCCCGGCCCUACGCGAAGACGGAGUGCCCAAGACACCAGUCCCUAUCGCCAUCAUGUUGGGCUUCGAGGCAUCACCCAGCUCCCAACCCCAGAUCAACGACACGAAGAAAGUCCUCCUCAAGUGGGAAAAGGCCUCCAAAAUAAAAUCAAGGGCGCUCCACGAGACAGCCGGCAGACACCGUCUCGAAACCGAAACCGGCCAAACACAGCGGACGGCCAUCCGAAGCCAGAGCCAUCAAGUGGCGCCUCCGCAAGACGAACCCACCAGCAUUGACUCAAAUUCCUCGCUCCUCUUAUGAGAGCUUGGAGACUCGCCUGUGACUCUUUUUAUGGAUGUCUGCCCUGUUGUAAAAGGGAUUAGGCGAACCUGAACCUGAACCUAAACGGAUUGGACGGGCGGUGCUCUUUGAUCUCGGCGCCGUUGAACAGGCAUUCUCAGGAGAUAAACUGAUGUCCUGGACCGGCAAUCCAGAAGAUGUGGGUUCGAUCCCUACAGCUGGCUAACCUUUUCAGUGACUUUCAUCUUUCAGGCAUUCUCAAAUAUAGGAGGCUAUGCCCUAACGGACGGAGCCCGCCAUUGGCUUUGGCUAUAUGUUUGACUUACGAGCCUGGCCUGGCUAACGGCACAAGCAUGGCCCCAUCCGUGCCAAAUACUUGUUAGCGGAAAUUUUACUUUCGUGAUGUUAGAUAUCCUUCUAGGAAUGUUAUCCCUUGUGAUAUCGCUUCUACUUCUUCUUGUACUUGUAGGAGUAGGAUGGUACAUUGUAUGGAAACUGUUCCUGUCCCGUUUCAAGUUUGUUCGGGAGUUGCUGAUAGCCAACAAUGGUGCUACGGACGUCCAAGCAACUCCACGCUCACGAAGCCGCAGGGCCAGGGUUGACUAGCAGAUACGAUUACCACUGUGAGCUGCAUCAAAGGACACAGUCAGUGUUUUACUCUGAGCAUGUCUGUGAUUUUCGUGAGCUCCUAAUGGGGAGAACUUUCGAGGUGGAAUAUUUUCUACCGUGUGGGUGCGCCAGACAGAAUUACAGAAAGCCACAUGUAUUUUUAAACACGAUCACGCAGUAAAUAAACGUGUAUGUUGUACAUUUUUCUUAUUAUA
Molecule: long non-coding RNA, 1234 nt
Organism: Ornithodoros turicata
Lineage: Eukaryota; Metazoa; Arthropoda; Arachnida; Ixodida; Argasidae
Exons: 2
Source: RefSeq, a predicted model, not a curated record